Molecule: ribosomal RNA, 504 nt
Filed under: uncultured bacterium
Lineage: Bacteria
Description: bacterial SSU rRNA
Rfam family: Bacterial small subunit ribosomal RNA
Source: RNAcentral
CUACGUGCCAGCAGCCGCGGUAAUACGUAGGGUGCGAGCGUUAAUCGGAAUUACUGGGCGUAAAGCGAGCGCAGACGGUUACUUAAGCAGGAUGUGAAAUCCCCGGGCUCAACCUGGGAACUGCGUUCUGAACUGGGUGACUAGAGUGUGUCAGAGGGAGGUAGAAUUCCACGUGUAGCAGUGAAAUGCGUAGAGAUGUGGAGGAAUACCGAUGGCGAAGGCAGCCUCCUGGGAUAACACUGACGUUCAUGCUCGAAAGCGUGGGUAGCAAACAGGAUUAGAUACCCUGGUAGUCCACGCCSUAAACGAUGAGUGCUAGGUGUUAGACCCUUUCCGGGGUUUAGUGCCGUAGCUAACGCAUUAAGCACUCCGCCUGGGGAGUACGACCGCAAGGUUGAAACUCAAAGGAAUUGACGGGGGCCCGCACAAGCGGUGGAGCAUGUGGUUUAAUUCGAAGCAACGCGAAGAACCUUACCAGGUCUUGACAUCCCUCUGACCGCUCUA